Molecule: non-coding RNA, 141 nt
Organism: Gossypium hirsutum (cotton)
Lineage: Eukaryota; Viridiplantae; Streptophyta; Magnoliopsida; Malvales; Malvaceae
Source: Rfam
UGUUAAAUUUUUUAUCUAUUUGUAUUGUUAAAAUUUUGCAUAGCUAAUUGAAUAACCAAACAAUGACAUGUGGUGUGCCACAUGUACCUCAUGCUUACACACAAAGACUAACUUUUAAUUGUAGAAAUGGAUGUUGUGACA